RNAcentral lists this ribosomal RNA (500 nucleotides) under uncultured Myrionecta. Its description in RNAcentral is "bacterial SSU rRNA". It matches the Rfam family "Eukaryotic small subunit ribosomal RNA", at positions 1211 to 1823 of the family's 1831-position model. The record is from RNAcentral. Lineage: Eukaryota; Ciliophora; Litostomatea; Cyclotrichida; Mesodiniidae.
AAACUUACCAGGUCAAGACAUGGGCGUGAUUGACAGGCUAAUGACUUUUCUCGAUUCCAUGGAUGGUGGUGCAUGGUCGCACUUAGUUGGUGCAGUGAUUUGUCAGGUUUAUUCCGGUAACGAACGAGACCUCGGCCUUGUAAAUAGCUAUGCUGCUUACAGGGACAUUGGCGGCUACGCCAAGGAAGCUCGAGGCAAUUGCAGAUCUGGAAUGCCCUUAGAUGUCCUGGGUCGCACGCGUGCUACAAUGACGCCACGAACGAGCUUGCGUGAUGAAAGUUACGCAUAAUCAGCAGUCGGCGUCUUAAGGGAUAGUCUCUUGUAACUGUGGGACUCCAACUAGGAAUGUCUCGUAAGCACAAGUCAACAUCUUGUGUUGAUUACGUCCCUGCUCUUUGUACACACCGCCCGUCGCUCCUACCGAUCGAGUGUUUAGGUGAAUUUGAUGGACGUAAGGAAGUCAAAUAAACCUGAGCACUAGAGAAGAGAAGUCGAUCUUU